Long non-coding RNA from Vicia villosa (hairy vetch), 8703 nucleotides. RefSeq lists it as uncharacterized. The transcript is spliced from 4 exons. Lineage: Eukaryota; Viridiplantae; Streptophyta; Magnoliopsida; Fabales; Fabaceae. The record is from RefSeq and is a predicted model, not a curated record.
CCAUUGAAACAUGGAGACCAAAAUAAAUAAUUGAAAAAUUUGGGAGUCAAAACUGCAGGCUAAAAUUUAAUGAUCAAAAUGACUAAUCCUUGGUGUUUUCAGCAUCUAAGAGCAGUUUUAACUUCUCCAUCUUUAUCGGUAACCAAAAACGAAGCACCCGGUUACGAGAGGACUCCUUUGCAGAUUGUAUUCCCCGAGCAAGAGAAAUGGCAACACUACAAGCCAAGAAUAACGACCCUCUUCUUGACAUGCAUGUUGAUGUUGCUGGAUCACAAGGAGCAGUUGGUGGCCAGCAUGCUAUUGCGGGUGACACCAGUGGAAGAUGGCUCUGCCAAUUUAGUAUGAAAGGUGUUUUCAUCUAUAUCCCUAUAUUAAUUACAGUUCAUUACCCCUUUUUUAGUUGUUAACUUUGAUAUUGCAAACAGUGUGCAACCGAAUUGCAAGAAAUGCAAUUCCAAGAAACAACUUACCACAUCAGCCUGCAAUUUGGAGUAUAACAAGGUUUCCAAAACUACACAAACAUUAUACCGGCAUCAUCAGCCAUCAACUUGAAAUUCCUAGUGUCAAACACGAUACCGACCCACAAAUUUUAUUGGCUGAAGAUGAUAUUCCUAGCAUUAAACCGGAAACAGACUCUCCAUUUUCAUUAGCUGAUAUUGAUAUUCCUAGCAUGGAAACAACUCAAGUAGAGAAAGGAACUUCGAUUAGCAAAGAUUUUGUUUAUCAAGAAACAUUUUUUAAGACACACACGGUUUCAUAUGCCUAUCAGAUGUCAGUUUUGCCACAUAACCUGCAGGGCCUCAAAAUUGAGAGAUGUAAAUUAUUAGAUGUUCUUCCAAAUGAUUUCAUAGAUAGAUUCCCCAUACUAAAAGUAUUGCAUUUGAUUGAUUGCUCUUCUCCCAUGUCAUUCCCUUAUCCUGCUUCCUUGACAAAACUUUACAUUUGUAACUGUAGAAAUUUUGAAUUGCUUCCAUCGUUAGAUUCAAGAGAGAACUUUUCCUUCUCGAACUUUUGGACAUUAGUAGUAGUUGUGAUUCCCUCACUACCUUCACCUUAAACUUGUUCCCCAAGCUAAAAACUCUUACUAUAAGUGAUUGUCCAAAUUUUGGAUCUUUUAAUAUUACAGGGGUGUUUAGAGGUGAUCUAGCACUUAAGUCUUUAGAAGUAAGAGAUUGCCCAAGGUUUAAGUCUUUUUCUGAUGAAGUAUUCCAUACAGUUGAGUCCUUAACCCUUUCCAAUUGUUCGAAUCUUUUCGAAUUGCCUAAUUUUGCUACAUCUUUCACCUCUCUCACUUCAUUAUACUUACUCAGAUGUCCUAAUAUUGAGUCUUUCCCAAAUGGGGGUUUUCCUUCAAGCUUAAGUAGACUUUCUAUUGUCUAUUGUGACAAGCUGACAUCACAAAAGGAUUGGAGAUUAGAAAAUUUAGAGUCCCUCGAUUUUUUAAAUAUUAAAGGUGAAUGCAUAGGCUUAGAGUCAUUUCCCAGUGAAAAUCUCCUUCCGAAAAACAUUACUUUUCUAAGCAUCGGUUCACUAAAGAGCCUCAGAAAGCUAGAUUCCAAGGGGUUUCAACAACUGAAUGCUCUUCUUAUACUUACAAUUAGUUGUUGCGACAGAUUGCGAUACUUGCCUGAACAGGGGCUUCCCUCCUCCCUAAAUCGUCUCCAUUUGCAUAAAUGCCCAAUGUUGACGUCGAAGCUUAAACCCAAGCUUGAAUCCAAGACGGGAAAGUAUUGGCGCAUGGUAGCUCACAUCCCAAACAUAGAAAUUGAUGACUGAAUAUUCUCUUGAGCUGGGCAGUUGUAGCCCUGGUGUUGCUGCAAAGGAAGAAGUACAUGUGUAGUUUAGUAAAGAGAAAGAUGGGAUGCUUUUUGUAUGAAUGGAAAUUGAUCUUGAAAUGCUCUACUUGUCAAUUCCUGCAAAUAUUUGAAAGGUAAAGCUUGUGCGUUUUCUUCAUUUCAUUUGCCUCAGUUUAGUUUCUGUUAAUAGAGAGGUAUUAGUUUAUGGUUUGUUUUCACUUGUUUUUUUUAUAUAGUAUGAUUUGUAAAUUUAUUUUUGUUAUUUACUUUUAUUCAUGUUAUUCAUAUUAUUCAAAUAAUGCAACACUAAUUUUUGUAUACACGUGCGGACGCACGAGUAUGUUACUAGUUUUAUAUAUUACCUAAAGUAUACUUCCGGUAUUAUGGCAACUAUAUAUAGACCAAAACAGUAACCAGUAUGAUCACCUUUUGAUCGUACCAUUUCUUCAUAUUUUCCGGUUUGCAGUUGAACAAAAUCGGAAGUACAUUUUCGGUUUUCUGUCUGUGUAUAUUUUCCAGCAGAAUUGAUGAUUAUGUUGUCUAUUACAUUAGGUAUGGUGCAUCCCGAUGACACUCUCAAACCUAAUGUGUCUCAAGUUGUUUCACCUCUCGUAUCUCCUAUUGUAACUAAGGUGGUAGAUAUUCGUGAGCAUUUUGAAAAUGGAAAUGAGUUUGAAUUACGUGACGACAUGUUGCAUUGGAUUCGAACAGAGGCAACAAAACUAAGAUUUGGUGUUGUGAUUGGAAGGUCUGAUAAUGGUGCGUCUAGAAGAAAUGCAUUUGUGACUUUGACAUGCGAAAGAAGUGGAAAAUAUAUAUGUUGUUUCCAAAAAUUGAAACGCGACGACACCAGUUCAAGAAAAUGUGAAUACCCGUUUAAGUUUUAUGGUUAUCAUUUGGCAAAUAACAAAUGGAGAUUUAAUGUGAUAUGUGGUUUACACAACCAUGAUCUAAGUCAAAAGUUGGUCGGUCAUCCAAUUGCACGUCAGCUUCUUCUGAAUGAGAAGAUAUGUGUUUUUGACAUGACUUUGAGCUUAGUACCGCCCAAGAACAUUCUUGCAACCUUGAAGCCCAAAAGACCCGGGAAUACAUCAAAUAUCAAUCAAGUUUACAAUAGACACUAUCAUUCCAAAUUAGCGCUUAGGGGGGGUCGAACCGAAAUCCAACACCUCAUGAAACUUCUUAAUGAAAACGAUUAUGUUUGUAGGUACUGACGAGGUGACGAUGGAGUUACGGUAAGAGAUAUUUAUUGGACUCAUCCCGACUCCAUUAAAUUUCUCAAUACGUUUCUCACCAUGCUCAUAAUUGAUUCAACGUAUAAGAUAAAUAAGUACAGACUUCUGUUGUUGGAAAUUUUUGGUGUUACGUCGACUGAGAAGAUGUAUUCUACUGGUUUUGCAUUUCUAGAGUGCGAAAAAUAGGACAACAUUUCACGGGCUUUGGAGGUUUGUAGGUCAAUAUUGAAGGAUCAAGAUGAUAUGUCGAAAGUCAUUGUUACUGAUCGGUAAAAUAGCAAGUGUACUAUUUUUCCUCUGUAGUAAUAAAGGGGAAACUCCCCGAAUGUCGAUCUCAAGGACUGCGUGAUACUAUAGAUUUGUGUUUUAAUUCAAUUAAACAAAAGCCUAAGGGGUUUUGGUUUGGAAAAUUAUGAAUUAAAUUGCAAAUAAAAGUAGAAGAUUGUUUUGGCCAAAUAUGAGUAACGUGUCAAGGUAGGUGUGUGAAUUAACAUGUAACAACUCUGAAUCCUUAUUUUAAUAACAACUUAUAAAUCAUCAACUAUCGGUUCUCAAGAAUGUUUACUCCUAAUUCCUUAGCGGACAAACCUUUAAUCGUUCAUCCCAAGUCCUAAUUCCUUAGUGAAUUAUGAUGAAAUUAAAUAAUUGAGUUAUCAAGAAUGUUCCGAUUACUAUAGGGUAUCCUUAUUCCUAGGCAAUAUCACUAUAGUAUAAUUGUAGAAAAACACUAACAAUAGCGGUCCAACCUAUUUGCUAGUCAUACAUCAAUCCUGUUGGUCCGACGAGGAAAGCAUCAGAAACAUUGUACAAUUAAAUUGAAUAUGAAAGACAAAUAGAUUAUUGAAAUUGGGAAAUCAAACUCAUUACAGAUGUUAAUUAAGGACACCCCCUAACAUUGGGGGGUUUAGCUACUCAUAGUAUUCAAAGAAAACAAAAUAUAAAAUAGAGACAUUACAAGAAUUGAGAUGAAAGUUGAUCUUCAAUCGAUUCCGUUCAUGAAAACAUUCUUCUCUCCCAAACCCUUAUUUUCUCCAAUUAUCAAUAGUGUAUUUUUCUCUCUGCCAAAAAGUUCCUUCAUUCUUCUUCAAAAUUCAAUUAAAUAGCCCACAUUCACUUAGGUCGGUUGGAAGUACCCAAAACGCCCCACACCUUAAUCCAUGGAUAAAAUAUGAAAAAAAAUCAUGAAAUCAGCAUAACAUGCUGACACGGUCCGUUCCAGCCAAGACGGGCACCCGUGUCAGACUUCUGUCAUCUUAAAAGUUGACUUUUUGUUCCAGGCCUCCUGACACAACCCGUGUCAAGUAACACGGCUCGUGUCAGCCCUUGACUACAUAAUUUGGCUUUUAGAUCUUCAUCAAAGUUGUAACCCUUUUCGUUAGAGAAAUUUUGCCGCCAGAACCACGUCAUUCCGAGUUACGAAGCUCUAGUUAUGAUCAAAAUACUACACAUUUGUCACGAUGAGAAACAUGCUGAAAAUUUCCAGAUCUCACACUUACUGACACGGGCCGUGUCAGCCCCUGACUUUCAUCUCUUUUGCAUUUUCUUGGCCACGCUUCAUCCUGACAUGGCUAGUGUCAGGUGACACAGGUGGUCGUGUCAGGCCUCCUAUAGCAUAAUUUUUCACUACCUUGAAAACUCAACUUUUUGUACUUUUUCGCAUUGAUUUGUCUCGAUUUAUUCCUUCGAGCCUGCAAAUAGUACAAUACACAACCAAAGCAUAAAAUGUAAAAGAAUAAAGUAAAACACUUGACAAUAUAAAGAAAUGAUAACUAAAAUCAACGGUAAAUAAAUGUGUAAAAACCACCGAUCAAACUCCCCCAAACUUAAACCGUUGCUUGACCUCAAGCAACAAUUACAAGAGCAUAAUCAAAUUCACAGCAUACCGGUACUCAUAUGUGAGACUUCUAUUUGCAUUACAAGAGGUAGUUCGUUCAAUAUUCACACGACGCGAAGAGUUUCGCAAGAAAACUAUAAACCUGAGCUUCCUUUCGGAUACCUCUUCAACUAUGCUUUGUACUUAAGUCUUUUCUUCCAAUUUUCCUCCUUUUUCAUUCAAACAAUCAAAUUAAGGCAAUGGAAUUUAUGAUGAUCAUCAUAUGCAUGAGACUAAUCAAGGCUUUUUGAUUUUUUUAGGCGCCAAAUAAGUAACAAUUAAAGAUAACGAUGAAUUUUUCAAAACUUUUCAGUUUAUGUAUUGUCCUUAUUUGGACGACGUUUGGGGAUCAACCUCUUUUGGUGAUGGCUAACCGAUUUGUAAAGUGGCCAUUUUUCUCAAACUAUGUUAUAGUUAUUAAACUUGUGAAUUUAGAUGAUAAUAUGAUAUUGGAAGAACGAAAUUAUAUCUAAUAAUGGAGUUGGGGCAGAAUUGAAACAAUGUUAAAAUGAAGAAAGAAAUUGAUGAAAAAGAGUAGAAAUGGGGCGCCACACUCUUUCUAUGAUUUAGAAAGGAUGAUAAGCCUUAAGUGAAGAUCACCACAAGAAACUUGGUUUCUUGAUAAGAUCAAAAACUUGGUCCAAUCCAGAACCAAAUGAGCAAAGCUCUCAAAAUCACACAAAGUGUUUAACAAAAUUCAACUUCCUCUUUCAUUCAUAUUUAGCUCCCUAUUUAUAGGUAAAAGGUAGCUUACAAUAAUAACUCAGGAAUUUCUACAACUUCAGCCUACUAACUAGUCAAUAAUGGUUUGGAAAAGAAAGGUCACACACUUAAAGGUAGUGGAGAAAGUAGAUAUUAAUUGCCUUGCGGAAUAAUAGCAAUUUAUAGCCACUUUUAUUAAUGCAUCCCACCUUUCUCUUUCUCCUUCCAUCAAAGCUUGAUCUUUUGAUUUCUUGAGCCCAUUAUUCACUUAGAAACAUAAAAGUCACGAAAUUUCUAAGCUUUAAGAGCUUUAGAAUAUUUAAAAAUACAUUAAAAAUUAAAAACAAGUGUUUUGGGCUAAAAUUUGACAAGAUGGACCCUAACACAUUUUAUUUGGAGCACUUUUUUUAUAUGUUUCCUUCCACAUGCUUAGUGAACUCGUGAUCUCAUUAUUCUCUGGUAUCAGAGCACAAAAUUCAACUUUCUCUUUCAUUCAUAUUUAGCUCCCUAUUUAUAGUUAAAAGGUAGCUUACAAUAAUAACUCAGGAAUUUCUACAACUUCAGCCCACUAACUAGUCAAUAAUGGUUUGGAAAAGAAAUGUCACACACUUAAAGGUAGUGGAGAAAGUGGAUAUUAAUUGCCUUGAUGAAUAAUAGCAAUUUAUAGCCACUUUUAUUAAUGCAUCCCACAUUUCUCUUUCUCCUUCCAGCAAAGCUUGACCUUUUGAUUUCUUGAGCCCAUUACUCACUUAGAAACAUAAAAGUCACGAAAUUUCUAAUCUUUAAGAGCUUUAGAAUAUUUAAAAACACAUUAAAAAUUAAAAACAAGUGUUUUGGGCCAAAAUUUGACAAGCUGGGCCCUAACACAUUUUAUUUGGAGCACUUUUUUAUAUGUUUCCUUCCACAUGCUUAGUGAACUCAUGAUCUCAUCAUUUGGGCUGAAUAAUCGGGUGAGGGCUAUCCAUCUUAGCGGGCCGACUGCCUUUUACCGUCUUUUCAUCAUUUGGUGCCAAACUUAUUUAUUUCUCAACCACUCAUACAUGCAUGUGAAUCUGGAUUAUGCCAGAAUGUCAAAAUAAACUACUCAAGGAGUACUUCUCAGGAUACAAGCACUAUGGUACAAAUCUACACGUUGGACUUGUAUCUCUUUUUAGGAAACUGUAGCGGGGAAAAUCUGAUAUCGAAGCCAUGGGAUUGACUCGAAUCAAUAUUCCGUUUUGAAAUCGCCACCGCGCUUUAUUUUUUCAAAGGAAAAGGGAAAAGAACGAAAAACCCAAAGUUUUGUUUUUUUAAAACAAGAAAGAGAACUCAGGUUCGGGUGUUGAUUAUAUGAGGGGAAGGUUUAAAGCACCCCUCAUAUCCGUGGUACUCCACGGGAACCUUUUUGAAAAUCUGUGUCGUGUGUGCUAAAAAAGGGUUUGUUUUAUUUUUAAAAUAAGCUCGGCAAAGCGUUAAGCUUUGGGCCUACAUACCUCCUCGGUGCAAUGGAGAAGUCAGAGCUAAUGUAGUUCCGCUUAAAAGGGGAAACAUUUUAAAACGAAUAAACACUUUGUUGUCAUUAGAGAGAAAUACUCAGCCAUUGAUCUUGAGCAUGAGAACAAACAAGUUCUUUGCAUCGCAAAUGAAAGAAGGGCGCCAACUCGGAUAAAAUCAACGAGUAUGCCACUAGCUCUCUCACGCGGAAAAGAUCUCGUUAUUAUCAAUCAAUUUCAAAAUCGUGGGGUAUAACCACUCGUUUUGACAAUUAACGGUGUCUAAACUUUUGAAGAAAAGCCACUAAGGGCGAAAGAUAUUUUUAAGAAAAAAAGUUUUGAAAAGGGUUUGCAAACAUAAGAAUGUUUUUGGAAAAAGAGAGAAGAUUUUGAAAAUUUAAGAAUGGGAGGAGAUGAAGAGGCUAUCCUAUUGCGUAAAAUAAAAGCUAAGGAAAGAAACGGUCUGACCGAAAUAAGAAGCCAACACUUGACAUUAAGAGUCGAUGUAGUUUUCCCAUCCUUUGGAUUUAUCAAUACCAACACAUUAACACUUGGGGAUCCAGAUGAACUUAUUGUCUUAGCACCACUUUGCAUUAAGCACAUUAAGAUUCUGACGAAAAUCGGGCAGAGUAACGGCUGUUUUCGGGUAAAAUCCUUAUAUCAAUGCCUUGGAAUUAACCAUCAAGGGCUUUCAAGGAAAUACCUGCACACAUAAACAUACAACAGAACAAAGCCAGACAGACAGAACAAUCACAGGGUAGUAAUAGAAUGAGUCCAGAGGUACUAGGUCCAUAAGUCCGAAUCUCCAAAAUGCUAGGGAUAGUAACCGAUAGUCCAAAGAGAGCCUUAUGUAUUUUUUAGAUUUUCGAUUGUUUAUUAGUGUUUUAGCCAAAAAAGGUAAAGUAUGGUCCAAGUGGACAAAAAGAAAAUGGCGGAAACAUAAACAUAUGUCCAAAUGGACAAAAGGAAAAAACGGCGGAAAGUAAAUAUGAUGAAAUGAUAAAAUAAAGCGAUAAAGCUAGAAAUAUAAAGAGCGGUAUAGUAAAGGUGCAGAAAUUAAAGUCAAUUGUUAGAUGUUAAAGAUAACCAUCUUGAAACUUGUCAAGUAUGUUAUCAAAGUUAGUAACGAAGAUCGAUGGUGAGUGAAGGAUGUACUCGGAUUUAAAUUCAAUGGGGUUUAUCAGAAGCUUGAUAAAAUCAUAGCGACUACACGAUAAAAACCUCCACAAGUCUUAAAUCAACCGCAUACAAUUCUCUUCCAUAUUUGAUCUUUUUUAUUCGGGACACGAAAUAUUGCGCUAUGUUAAGCAGAUCGCCAAGUGAUUUAUGUAGAAAUCACCUUACAACGAGGCCGGUCAAAACUUUAUGUGCUAAUGCAUGCGAGAAGAACGAUAUGUAGAUCGUUUUCCGAAAGCAAUACCGCACGAAAAGAAAAAAUGGUGAGUGAUCUAGUCUUCACCAAGAAUCCAUAAGAAUUCUCAAGGCAUUAAGACUUUCAUCGACCAAAAUAAAAAGAAGUAAAAGAUGGAACCACAUUAAAGGCUCCUUUCAUCCAUAAUUUCAAUCACUUAAUAUUGCGGAUUUGGAUUCUCAUCCUAUCGACGCCCUAAGUCCAUUGAAAUUAG